AGGAUGAACGCUGGCGGCGUGCCUAACACAUGCAAGUCGAACGUCCUGUCUCGCAAGAGGCAGGGAGUGGCGGACGGGUGAGUACCACGUGGGUCAUCUACCGUGAGGUGAGGAAUACCGGCGAGAAAUCGCCGACAAGACCGCAUAGGCUCGAUGCAAGUCGAGCAAAGCUCUUUCGAGAGAGGGAGCGCCACACGAGGAGCCUGCGCCCGAUUAGCUAGCUGGUGGAGUAACGGUUCACCAGGGCGACGAUCGGUAGCUGGUCUGAGAGGACGAUCAGCCACACUGGGAUUGAGAACGGCCCAGACUCCUACGGGGGCAGCAGUGAGGAAUUUUCGCAAUGGGGGCAACCCUGAACGAGCAACGCCGCGUGCAGGAGAAGGUUUCGGAUCGUAAACUGCUUUUCUCGGGGAAGAGAACGGACGGUACCGAGGAAUCAGCCCGGCUAACUACGCGCCAGCAGCCGCGGU
Molecule: ribosomal RNA, 470 nt
Filed under: uncultured bacterium
Lineage: Bacteria
Description: SSU rRNA
Rfam family: Bacterial small subunit ribosomal RNA
Source: RNAcentral